RNAcentral lists this ribosomal RNA (445 nucleotides) under uncultured bacterium. RNAcentral describes it as "partial 16S ribosomal RNA". It matches the Rfam family "Bacterial small subunit ribosomal RNA", at positions 354 to 796 of the family's 1533-position model. The record is from RNAcentral.
GUGGGGAAUUUUGGACAAUGGGCGCAAGCCUGAUCCAGCCAUGCCGCGUGCAGGAAGACGCAUCUAUGGUGUGUAAACUGCUUUUGUACGGGAAGAAACACUCCCUCGUGAGGGAGCUUGACGGUACCGUAAGAAUAAGGAUCGGCUAACUCCGUGCCAGCAGCCGCGGUAAUACGGAGGAUCCAAGCGUUAUCCGGAAUCAUUGGGUUUAAAGGGUCCGUAGGCGGUUUAAUAAGUCAGUGGUGAAAGCCCAUCGCUCAACGAUGGAACGGCCAUUGAUACUGUUAGACUUGAAUUACAAGGAAGUAACUAGAAUAUGUAGUGUAGCGAUGAAAUGCUUAGAUAUUACAUGGAAUACCAAUUGCGAAGGCAGGUUACUACUUGUGGAUUGACGCUGAUGGACGAAAGCGUGGGGAGCGAACAGGAUUAGAAACCCUUGUAGUCC